RNAcentral lists this ribosomal RNA (512 nucleotides) under uncultured bacterium. Its description in RNAcentral is "partial 16S ribosomal RNA". It matches the Rfam family "Bacterial small subunit ribosomal RNA", at positions 28 to 507 of the family's 1533-position model. The record is from RNAcentral.
GACGAACGCUGGCGGCGUGCCUAAUACAUGCAAGUCGAGCGAGCGGAACUAACAGAUUUACCUCGGUAAUGACGUUAGGAAAGCGAGCGGCGGAUGGGUGAGUAACACGUGGGGAACCUGCCCCAUAGUCUGGGAUACCACUUGGAAACAGGUGCUAAUACCGGAUAGGAAAGCAGAUCGCAUGAUCAGCUUUUAAAAGGCGGCGUAAGCUGUCGCUAUGGGAUGGCCCCGCGGUGCAUUAGCUAGUUGGUAAGGUAAAGGCUUACCAAGGCGAUGAUGCAUAGCCGAGUUGAGAGACUGAUCGGCCACAUUGGGACUGAGACACGGCCCAAACUCCUACGGGAGGCAGCAGUAGGGAAUCUUCCACAAUGGACGCAAGUCUGAUGGAGCAACGCCGCGUGAGUGAAGAAGGUUUUCGGAUCGUAAAGCUCUGUUGUUGGUGAAGAAGGAUAGAGGUAGUAACUGGCCUUUAUUUGACGGUAAUCAACCAGAAAGUCACGGCUAACUACGUG